AUCAACUCAACAAGCCAAACAAAAAGACGAAGUUUAAAAAAAAGAAAUGUUACCGUUAUCUCGCUUUUUUCCAAGUUACACUUGAGUGAAAACAACGUUUAAAGCGUAAAAAAGAAAACGUAAGGGGAACAUGUCAGCUGGGAUAUGACUGCUUCAUCAACAGCAUGGUUUUAAUACUGCUGCUAAAAGAGAUUGAACCCUCAUCAUGUGGAUACUUCCAGGCACUUCAACUGUUUCAAUCUUUCCCACUGAUCAUCAAUGAUGCUGCCAGCAUCAUCUCUUUCAUGUCAGCACUCUUGCAGCGAGGUUAACAAACCCUGGGUUGACUUAUCCCAUUUGUGACGAGCUUCACGUGGCUGCUGAUGUUAGGAUAAGAAAACCUGGACCAAGAAAUAGAUCCUGGAUAUGUGGAGCUAGUUUCAGAGUGCAGGGCCGAGCUCUGAAGCUGCUUUUAUGUCUCAGGGUAAAGAAAACUAUUUGUUUCUACACUACAUGAAAAGUUUGGACUUACC
This is a long non-coding RNA of Pundamilia nyererei, 512 nucleotides long. RefSeq lists it as uncharacterized. The record is from RefSeq and is a predicted model, not a curated record. Lineage: Eukaryota; Metazoa; Chordata; Actinopteri; Cichliformes; Cichlidae. The transcript has 3 exons.